RNAcentral lists this ribosomal RNA (497 nucleotides) under uncultured bacterium. Its description in RNAcentral is "partial 16S ribosomal RNA". It matches the Rfam family "Bacterial small subunit ribosomal RNA", at positions 28 to 507 of the family's 1533-position model. The record is from RNAcentral.
GACGAACGCUGGCGGCGUGCCUAAUACAUGCAAGUUGAGCGCUGAAGGUUGGUACUUGUACCAACUGGAUGAGCAGCGAACGGGUGAGUAACGCGUGGGGAAUCUGCCUUUGAGCGGGGGACAACAUUUGGAAACGAAUGCUAAUACCGCAUAAAAACUUUAAACACAAGUUUUAAGUUUGAAAGAUGCAAUUGCAUCACCCAAAGAUGAUCCCGCGUUGUAUUAGCUAGUUGGUGAGGUAAAGGCUCACCAAGGCGAUGAUACAUAGCCGACCUGAGAGGGUGAUCGGCCACAUUGGGACUGAGACACGGCCCAAACUCCUACGGGAGGCAGCAGUAGGGAAUCUUCGGCAAUGGACGAAAGUCUGACCGAGCAACGCCGCGUGAGUGAAGAAGGUUUUCGGAUCGUAAAACUCUGUUGGUAGAGAAGAACGUUGGUGAGAGUGGAAAGCUCAUCAAGUGACGGUAACUACCCAGAAAGGGACGGCUAACUACGUG